Xiphophorus hellerii (green swordtail) is the source of this 1245-nucleotide non-coding RNA. The record is from the annotation of a RefSeq genome assembly. Lineage: Eukaryota; Metazoa; Chordata; Actinopteri; Cyprinodontiformes; Poeciliidae.
AAACAACAUUGAUAAGCACAUACUAAAUAUUAAAACAUUUGACUCAGUUAAAUCAGCAAUAAAAACAUGUCUGUAUUUGAAAAGUGUAUUUUUGAGACCAGAAUUAACCCAAAUCUGAUAUCAGAUACAUAUUGAUGAAGCAAGAACUUAAUAAUAAAAUAUCAAGUAUAAAGAACAUAAUCUAAAGGAUUCCAUUCAAAUCUUAAAUAAACUGAUUUGCAUCAGCAGCUCCAUGCUCCAGCGCUCUGGGAGAGUUUAUAGUCCUGACAGUUGAACUCUGGAUGACUGACAGCUGUCCUUCAUCACAACAGAAGACACAGAAAUCCUCCUCAUCAAAAACAUGACUUUGAUCUGCGUCCUCAUCUGGACUCUCCUCUGCUUCACUCAGGGAUCUGAUGGACAAAAUGUUGUUGUGACUCAACCAGCAGCCAAAUCAGUGCAGCUUGGUCAGACUGUCACUAUUGACUGUAAGGCCAGUCAGGCACUUUCAACAUCUCAAUGCAGCAGCAAUUCACAGGUCUGUCUGUCCUGGUACCAUCAGAAACCGAGAGAAGCUCCUAAACCUCUGAUAUAUGGAAUAUCAACCAGAUCUUCAGGAAUCUCCUCCAGAUUCAGUGGAAGUUCAGCAGGAAAUGGAUUAGACUUCACUCUGACCAUCAGUGGAGUUCAGGCUGAAGAUGCAGGAGUUUAUUACUGUCAGAGUUAUCAUUACAUCAACAGUCAGUACGUGUUCACACAGUAAAAAAUCAUCGUACAAAAACCUCCCUCAGUCUGACUGAACAGAAACUGAAUUAUAAAGAUGGAAGCAGCUGCACAGACUGAAACAGUUCACUGAACACCCACAUGAGGUCCACAAAAUAUAUCUCUAUUAAACACAACAACACAAUCAGUGACAGGAUAAAUUCCUGCUACGAUCCUCUAAAAUAUUAAAAAGUUAAAUAAGAUUAAAACAAUGUUUAGUCAGAGUUUUAUAAGUGUUGGUCUGAGAUUACUUAAAGCAAACCAUGGUCAGCACAAAUGGGCUGAUUGUUUUACUUUUUUGCCAAAUCAUUGAAAAUUAAUCAUAUCAAGCAAUCAGUUCAGAAAAAUUAGGAAGAUUGUUGUUAAAAUGAUGACAAAAUAUUUCAAUACAAAAUAAAAGUUUUCAGUCAGAAACUUUAUCAAGAUGAUCAGAGGAUGAAUUACAACAGGGUAGAUAUUUUUUUUAAAAUCAAUAGUUACUCUUUUGAAAUGCCACUACAAAUU